CGGAGGUACUCGAGUGGCGAACGGGUGAGUAACACGUGGGUGAUCUGCCCUGCACUCUGGGAUAAGCCUGGGAAACUGGGUCUAAUACCGGAUAGGACCAUGCUUUAGUGUGUGUGGUGGAAAGUUUUUUCGGUGUAGGAUGAGCCCGCGGCCUAUCAGCUUGUUGGUGGGGUAAUGGCCUACCAAGGCGGCGACGGGUAGCCGGACUGAGAGGUUGGUCGGCCACAUUGGGACUGAGAUACGGCCCAGACUCCUACGGGAGGCAGCAGUGGGGAAUAUUGCACAAUGGGCGCAAGCCUGAUGCAGCGACGCCGCGUGGGGGAUGACGGCCUUCGGGUUGUAAACUCCUUUCGCCAGGGACGAAGCGUUUUGUGACGGUACCUGGAGAAGAAGCACCGGCUAACUACGUGCCAGCAGCCGCGGUAAUACGUAGGGUGCAAGCGUUGUCCGGAAUUACUGGGCGUAAAGAGCUCGUAGGUGGUUUGUCACGUCGUCUGUGAAAUUCCACAGCUUAACUGUGGGCGUGCAGGCGAUACGGGCUGACUUGAGUACUGUAGGGGUAACUGGAAUUCCUGGUGUAGCGGUGAAAUGCGCAGAUAUCAGGAGGAACACCGAUGGCGAAGGCAGGUUACUGGGCAGUUACUGACGCUGAGGAGCGAAAGCAUGGGUAGCAAACAGGAUUAGAUACCCUGGUAGUCCAUGCCGUAAACGGUGGGCGCUAGGUGUAGGGACCUUUUGGGGUUUCUGUGCCGUAGCUAACGCAUUAAGCGCCCCGCCUGGGGAGUACGCCGCAAGGCUA
RNAcentral lists this ribosomal RNA (799 nucleotides) under uncultured Actinomycetes bacterium. RNAcentral describes it as "bacterial SSU rRNA". It matches the Rfam family "Bacterial small subunit ribosomal RNA", at positions 82 to 896 of the family's 1533-position model. Lineage: Bacteria; Bacillati; Actinomycetota; Actinomycetes. The record is from RNAcentral.